RNAcentral lists this small RNA (57 nucleotides) under Caenorhabditis elegans. RNAcentral describes it as "Unclassified non-coding RNA Y39E4B.17". Lineage: Eukaryota; Metazoa; Nematoda; Chromadorea; Rhabditida; Rhabditidae. The record is from RNAcentral.
AAAUUGGCCAAAAAUGACUGAAAUUAGUCAAAAAUUGGCUAAAAAUGACUGAAAAUA